This 1018-nucleotide ribosomal RNA is filed under the name uncultured bacterium. RNAcentral's name for it is "bacterial SSU rRNA". It matches the Rfam family "Bacterial small subunit ribosomal RNA", at positions 356 to 1376 of the family's 1533-position model. The record is from RNAcentral.
AGGGAAUUUUCGUCAAUGGGGGGAACCCUGAACGAGCAAUGCCGCGUGAGUGAGGAAGGUCUUCGGAUCGUAAAGCUCUGUUGUAAGAGAAAAAUGGCACUCAUAGGGAAUGAUGAGUGAGUGAUGGUAUCUUACCAGAAAGUCACGGCUAACUACGUGCCAGCAGCCGCGGUAAUACGUAGGUGGCGAGCGUUAUCCGGAAUGAUUGGGCGUAAAGGGUGCGUAGGUGGCAGAUCAAGUCUGGAGUAAAAGGUAUGGGCUCAACCCGUACUGGCUCUGGAAACUGAUCAGCUAGAGAACAGAAGAGGACGGCGGAACUCCAUGUGUAGCGGUAAAAUGCGUAGAUAUAUGGAAGAACACCGGUGGCGAAGGCGGCCGUCUGGUCUGGAUUCUGACACUGAAGCACGAAAGCGUGGGGAGCAAAUAGGAUUAGAUACCCUGGUAGUCCACGCCGUAAAUGAUGAGAACUAGGUGUUGGGGGAAUAACUCAGUGCCGCAGUUAACGCAGUAAGUUCUCCGCCUGGGGAGUAUGCACGCAAGUGUGAAACUCAAAGGAAUUGACGGGGGCCCGCACAAGCGGUGGAGUAUGUGGUUUAAUUCGAAGCAACGCGAAGAACCUUACCAGGCCUUGACAUCCCUUGCAGAGGUAUAGAGAUAUAUCCGAGGUUAUCAAGGAGACAGGUGGUGCAUGGUUGUCGUCAGCUCGUGUCGUGAGAUGUUGGGUUAAGUCCCGCAACGAGCGCAACCCUUGUGAUAUGUUACUAACAUUGAGUUGAGGACUCAUAUCAGACUGCCGGUGAUAAACCGGAGGAAGGUGGGGAUGACGUCAAAUCAUCAUGCCCCUUAUGGCCUGGGCUACACACGUACUACAAUGGCGUCUACAAAGAGCGGCAAGCCUGUGAAGGCAAGCGAAUCUCAUAAAGGACGUCUCAGUUCGGAUUGAAGUCUGCAACCCGACUUCAUGAAGCUGGAAUCGCUAGUAAUCGCGAAUCAGCAUGUCGCGGUGAAUACGUUCUCG